AGAGAAAGAGAAAGAGAAAGAGAGAGAGAGAGAGAGAAAGGGAGAGAGAGAGAGAGAGAGAGCAACGAUGGUCGAGCAAGCCAUAGAGUGACUGAAGAUAGAGAGCGGCGUUGGUGGGAACAAAGCAGCAAAUCGGAGAAAUAAAACGUUAUUUUCUGAUUAUUUCCCAGCGGUUACGUUCUAAAACACA
Long non-coding RNA from Sebastes umbrosus (honeycomb rockfish), 190 nucleotides. RefSeq lists it as uncharacterized. The transcript has 2 exons. Lineage: Eukaryota; Metazoa; Chordata; Actinopteri; Perciformes; Sebastidae. The record is from RefSeq and is a predicted model, not a curated record.